RNAcentral lists this ribosomal RNA (493 nucleotides) under uncultured bacterium. RNAcentral describes it as "partial 16S ribosomal RNA". It matches the Rfam family "Bacterial small subunit ribosomal RNA", at positions 29 to 507 of the family's 1533-position model. The record is from RNAcentral.
ACGAACGCUGGCGGCGUGCUUAACACAUGCAAGUCGAACGGAAAGGCCUGCUUUCCCUUGUGGAUUGCGGGUGCUCGAGUGGCGAACGGGUGAGUAACACGUGAGUGAUCUACCCCCAACUUGGGUAUAAGCCUGGGAAACUGGGUCUAAUUCCCGAUAGGACUGCAGGGUGGUGCCUGUGGUGGAAAACGAUUUUCUAGUGGUUGGGGAUGAGCUCGCGGCCUAUCAGCUUGUUGGUGGGGUAAUGGCCUACCAAGGCGGCGACGGGUAGCCGGCCUGAGAGGGUGGACGGCCACAUUGGGACUGAGAUACGGCCCAGACUCCUACGGGAGGCAGCAGUGGGGAAUAUUGCACAAUGGGCGGAAGCCUGAUGCAGCGACGCCGCGUGGGGGAUGACGGCCUUCGGGUUGUAAACUCCUUUCGACCGCGAGGAAGCCACCUGGUUGGAAGGGUGGUGACGGUAGUGGUAGAAGAAGCACCGGCUAACUACGUG